Molecule: long non-coding RNA, 1406 nt
Filed under: Homo sapiens (human)
Lineage: Eukaryota; Metazoa; Chordata; Mammalia; Primates; Hominidae
Description: non-protein coding lnc-CCDC6-1:2
Source: RNAcentral
UGAUGAUGAUUGUCUUAACAUGUAUUUCUAAUCACUUUAAAACCUCACUGUGAUAGAUUUGCUUGUUCUUUGUACUUUUGUGGUACAAUCUAAUAGAUUUUUUUCUUUGAGGUUUACUCUAUUUUUAGAUAUUAAAAGUAUUUUAAACUGAAAUGAUGACUCAUACGUGGAUAUAAGAAAAUAAAAAGCAGCUCUGUUUCCUACAUUUUUUACUGCUUUUUACUCUCCCAAUUUUUAUGUCUUUUCAUCAAUUCUGCAAUAGACAGAGAUUAAUAGUAGCACUUGCAGUUUUCGCUGAGACAUAUCCAGUUCACUGAAGACCCACUUUAGUGUUUUGGGAGGAAAAAACAAGUCUUUUCUGAAAUAAUGAGUUCAAGAUUGAUUUGAGGUUUAGGAAGACUUUUAGCAAACUCAAUCGCUCAGGAGCUGAUUCUCAGCUUAUCAGUAAUCACAUCCUUUCCUAUUCCCUUCUGCAGACAAUAUCUGACUAUUUUCAGGCUUGUUAGAAGGGAGAGUAAGAGGAAGUUUAGUUCUAGAUCAUCUAUUUUUUUUUCCCUGUAAGUAAGUUGCUUUGAUAUAAGAUUUGGUGGUGGUAAUCAGUUGCUUAAAUGAUAUCCUAAAAUAAUCUCCAGCUCAUUUAAUAACUGCCUUCACUAAAUUUUUAUUAAUGGUUUUGUUUUAGUUUUAAGCUCUUUUAAGUCUUUUUCAGGCCUUCUUUAACUCCGUCCUGACAAGUGUGGUUUUGAAUACUGAUUUCUGUCUUUGACUUGACUUUUAGUAUAUUUAAGUGGUGUGAGUUUUGGAUAAGUUUCCUUUUAAAAUGAUCCCACAAAAUAUAGAGAGAAGCAAUUCUCCUGCCUCAGCCUCCUAAGGAGCUAUUUUUUGUAUUUUAGUAGAGACAGGGUUUCACCGUGUUGGUCAGGCUGGUCUCGAACUCCUGACCUCAAGUGAUCCACCCGCCUUGGCCUCCCAAAGUGCUGGGAUUACAGGUGUGAGCCACCGUGCCCAGCUAGAUUCUUUACUUUUUAAUAAAGUUCAAAAUAGCUUUUAAUAAGGUUGUCAAAUUUGACCAAAAUUUCAUAGAAGUCCAAAAUAUUAUGCCUCUUUCUGUAGAUCAAAUGAAAUAUGGCCCAAUUUACAAGGGUAUACACCUUCAUGGUAGAUGAAUAUAGAUUUUAAACUAGUUUUAAAAGGAAUAUGAAUGAUUUAAUUGUAGUUUCUGCUGCCAAAAAGUCUCCAUAAUUAUUUUUUAAUAACUUAUAACUACCUUGAUCUUUACCUGUACACACACACACACACACACAUGCACAGAGUAAUUUCACUUAGAAUCCUGGUCAAAAAUUUUCUUCCACUUAAAUUUUUUUUAAGACUCUCACAAAUAUACAUCAUGGUUUUCUUUAGUCGGC